GGUAAACAAUAAAUUCUUAAUCUGUUUUUAUUUCGAUAUUUCCUUUUUAGCUCUAUUUUUCAUUACUAAAAAUUCUUUUUAUAUUUUCAGCGAUGAUCGCGACUGUCACCGAGGGAACCUCCUUCAGGGAUUUCACCAAGGAAAAAGAAUGGUCAUGAUUGCAUCGGAUGGACCAGUUCCCCAGGCGUCCGUAACAAAAUUUGCGGCUUAUUGGGAUACAUUCCCAAUAAGACGCAAAAAUAAAAAGGAACUUUUUUGGGUCGCCUGGGAACUAGAGUCGUUUCUCAUUUGCAACAGGCCAUUGCUCAGGAGAAGAAAAAAGUAUAGACACAGUGGUGUCGGAACUGAGUGAAUGAUUAGGUUGCAAAUUAGGAGUGGCAAGGAACCAUGUGGGGAAAAACCCACGUUCAAAGCCGGGCAAAAAAAAAAAAAAAUGUAUUUACUAAGUACAUGUUAGUUCAAGAACCAUCGAUGCCUUUCUUCCAGCUUAGUACACUCGUGAAGCAAGAUUUGGUAUGCAAUUGUGUCGUUUAUUCGCCCUUGAACUUCCCUGUGAAUCUUGAAAAGAGAGGAUAGUUUUAUUUCACGACCGGAGAAGUAUUAGUGGUGUCGUGUUGAGUAUCUUUCACUCCAUCACAGCAUUGAAUUUUUGCGUGAGCGGAUUUGAAUGCAAAGUGCAUUUUGUUUAUUGUGAACGAAUUCAUGGGAUAAAUAAGAUCAGCGAUGAAUAUUACCUGUCCCAGAGGGGUGUAUCUGAUCACUUUAUUAGAAGUCGCGUUAUAGUUACAGUGAAGAUAAGUAGCUUAUAUGUAUAUAAUCUCUUUCCUCAUUAAUACUUUUCUUUUUUUUUUUUCGGAUUACCUGUUGUCAAAGGAUUAUGGAGUGUUAUACAGGCGAACGGCAAUAGUGAAGCACGAUUGGGAACAACUUGAUUUUAUCAACGAAUUUAAUAAUUAGGAUUCACUUAAUAUCCAUGAAUUGUUGGGACAAAUUAUUUUGAAACAGGGUGUUUCGGAUUUCUGGUGGUUUAUUUUUUUCUUCUAUUAAAAAUUUUCAAGAUUCGUGAAAAUUUUGUUUUUCUAAUUUAUUUUUAACGGCGAAUGCAAACACCUUAUUAAAUAAACACACGACGAUAAGGAAUACAUAGAGACGGUAUAAAGACAACGAUACCCAAUUGGUACUCUCGGCCUAUUUUGAAAAUAUUUCGUAUCUAAAAGAAUUCUCGAACAUUUGAAUGAUGCAUAUUUGGGACUUUGGAAAAUCGAAGGAACGUUAACACCUGAACAGUCUACAUUUUGAGAUGUGGAUCGGAUAAGUCUAUCCGAGAUCAGAGGAAAACAUAAUACCUUGCCUGGUUUCUAUAUCUAAAUUUAGUUGUUGUUGGACUAGUAGCUCUCUCUACUUCCCUUUUCCAGGUUUAGAUUUCGUGUGACAUUAUUUCUCAACUUUAAUUUAUCCGGUUUCAAUAAAAAAAAGUAAUCAGCGUUCAACAUGUAAGCAGUUUUCAACAAUAAAUGUACAAACAAAUAUCAACAAUAAACUAAAGUGGUGAGUUUUUGAACAAAUUCCUUUUUGUUUUCUCAGAAAACCAAACUAAAUCAAAAAUUAACCUAAAUAAGUAAAUAAGUAAACUAUAUUGUAACAAAAACAAAAAAAAAUAAAUUAAUAAAUAACUGUAACUUUAACGAAAAUUGAAAUUG
Episyrphus balteatus (marmalade hoverfly) is the source of this 1700-nucleotide long non-coding RNA. RefSeq lists it as uncharacterized. Lineage: Eukaryota; Metazoa; Arthropoda; Insecta; Diptera; Syrphidae. The record is from RefSeq and is a predicted model, not a curated record. The transcript has 4 exons.